Molecule: ribosomal RNA, 437 nt
Filed under: uncultured Bacillota bacterium
Lineage: Bacteria; Bacillati; Bacillota
Description: bacterial SSU rRNA
Rfam family: Bacterial small subunit ribosomal RNA
Source: RNAcentral
GGGCCCGCACAAGCAGUGGAUUAUGUGGUUUAAUUCGAAGCAACGCGAAGAACCUUACCAGGUCUUGACAUCGAGUGAAUAGCUAAGAGAUUAGUGAAGUCCUUCGGGACACUCAGACAGGUGGUGCAUGGUUGUCGUCAGCUCGUGUCGUGAGAUGUUGGGUUAAGUCCCGCAACGAGCGCAACCCUUACUAUUAGUUGCUACGCAAGAGCACUCUAAUGGGACUGCCGUUGACAAAACGGAGGAAGGUGGGGAUGACGUCAAAUCAUCAUGCCCUUUAUGACCUGGGCUACACACGUAAUACAAUGGCAAUCAAACAAAGGGAAGCAAGGGAGCGAUCCCAAGCGGAUCCCAAAAAAUUGUCUCAGUUCGGAUCGCAGGCUGCAACUCGCCUGCGUGAAGUCGGAAAUUGCUAGUAAUCGCGGAUCAGCAUGCCG